RNAcentral lists this transfer RNA (75 nucleotides) under Acidimicrobiia bacterium. RNAcentral's name for it is "tRNA-Arg". It matches the Rfam family "tRNA". From Rfam's summary of the family: Transfer RNA (tRNA) molecules are approximately 80 nucleotides in length. Their secondary structure includes four short double-helical elements and three loops (D, anti-codon, and T loops). The record is from RNAcentral. RNAcentral also lists the same sequence under 1 other name. Lineage: Bacteria; Bacillati; Actinomycetota; Acidimicrobiia.
CUGACCGUCGUUCAACGGAUAGGACAUGGUUCUUCUAAAUCCAUAAUGGGGGUUCGAUUCCCUCCGGUCAGGCCA